CCUACGGGAGGCUGCAGUGGGGAAUAUUGGACAAUGGGGGCAACCCUGAUCCAGCCAUGCCGCGUGUGUGAAGAAGGCCCUCGGGUUGUAAAGCACUUUCAGUGAGGAAGAACGCCUGGUGGUUAAUACCCAUCAGGAAAGACAUCACUCACAGAAGAAGCACCGGCUAACUCCGUGCCAGCAGCCGCGGUAAUACGGAGGGUGCGAGCGUUAAUCGGAAUUACUGGGCGUAAAGCGCGCGUAGGUGGCUUGAUAAGCCGGUUGUGAAAGCCCCGGGCUCAACCUGGGAACGGCAUCCGGAACUGUCAAGCUAGAGUGCAGGAGAGGAAGGUAGAAUUCCCGGUGUAGCGGUGAAAUGCGUAGAGAUCGGGAGGAAUACCAGUGGCGAAGGCGGCCUUCCGGACUGACACUGACACUGAGGUGCGAAAGCGUGGGUAGCAAACAGGAUUAGAUACCCUGGUAGUC
Molecule: ribosomal RNA, 465 nt
Filed under: Vreelandella stevensii
Lineage: Bacteria; Pseudomonadati; Pseudomonadota; Gammaproteobacteria; Oceanospirillales; Halomonadaceae
Description: partial 16S ribosomal RNA
Rfam family: Bacterial small subunit ribosomal RNA
Source: RNAcentral